RNAcentral lists this long non-coding RNA (542 nucleotides) under Homo sapiens (human). RNAcentral's name for it is "non-protein coding lnc-FLG2-2:1". The record is from RNAcentral. Lineage: Eukaryota; Metazoa; Chordata; Mammalia; Primates; Hominidae.
GGAGUAUAUGAUUAUGAAAAUACAGGAAGAAUGACUCAAAAAUGGAUACAAUCAGGCCAUAUUGCCACAUAUUACACAAUCCAGGAUGAAGCCUAUGACACCACUGAUAGUCUAUUAGAAGAAAACAAAAUAUAUGAAAGAUCAAGGUCAUCUGAUGGCAAAUCAUCAUCUCAAGUGAACAGGUCAAGACAUGAAAAUACAAGCCAGGUACCAUUGCAGGAGUCCAGGACAAGAAAGCGUAGGGGAUCCAGAGUUAGCCAGGACAGGGACAGUGAGGGACACUCAGAAGACUCUGAGAGGCACUCUGGGUCGGCUUCCAGAAACCAUCAUGGAUCUGCGUGGGAGCAGUCAAGAGAUGGCUCCAGACACCCCAGGUCCCAUGAUGAAGACAGAGCCAGUCAUGGGCACUCUGCAGACAGCUCCAGACAAUCAGGCACUCGUCACGCAGAGACUUCCUCUCGUGGACAGACUGCAUCAUCCCAUGAACAGGCAAGAUCAAGUCCAGGAGAAAGACAUGGAUCCGGCCACCAGCAGUCAGCAGA